Molecule: ribosomal RNA, 492 nt
Filed under: uncultured bacterium
Lineage: Bacteria
Description: partial 16S ribosomal RNA
Rfam family: Bacterial small subunit ribosomal RNA
Source: RNAcentral
AGUGAACGCUGGCGGUAGGCCUAACACAUGCAAGUCGAACGGCAGCACAGUAAGAGCUUGCUCUUACGGGUGGCGAGUGGCGGACGGGUGAGGAAUACAUCGGAAUCUACUUUUUCGUGGGGGAUAACGUAGGGAAACUUACGCUAAUACCGCAUACGACCUACGGGUGAAAGCAGGGGAUCUUCGGACCUUGCGCGAUUGAAUGAGCCGAUGUCGGAUUAGCUAGUUGGCGGGGUAAAGGCCCACCAAGGCGACGAUCCGUAGCUGGUCUGAGAGGAUGGUCAGCCACACUGGAGCUGAGACAGGGUCCAGACUCCUACGGGAGGCAGCAGUGGGGAAUAUUGGACAAUGGGCGCAAGCCUGAUCCAGCCAUACCGCGUGGGUGAAGAAGGCCUUCGGGUUGUAAAGCCCUUUUGUUGGGAAAGAAAAGCAGCAGGUUAAUACCCCGCUGUUCUGACGGUACCCAAAGAAUAAGCACCGGCUAACUUCGUG